UUUAACAAACUAAGGUGUUUAGGUCUAUAUUUCGGCUGUAGUUUUGGAUUUGGUUUGUUAUCCUGUUAAAG
This 71-nucleotide transfer RNA is filed under the name Diplorchis sp. RNAcentral describes it as "tRNA-Arg". The record is from RNAcentral. Lineage: Eukaryota; Metazoa; Platyhelminthes; Monogenea; Polystomatidea; Polystomatidae.